CAGUAGCCGCGGUAAUACGAGGGGUGCAAGCGUUAUUCGGAUUGAUUGGGUGUAAAGGGUGUGCAGACGGCUUAUUAAGUCACUUGUUAAAUUCUUCGGCCUAACUGAAGGUCUGCAAGUGAUACUGAUGAGCUAGAGGGUGGAAGAGAGAAGUGGAAUUCUCGGAGUAGCGGUAAAAUGCGUAGAUCUCGAGAGGAACACCAAUGGCGAAGGCAGCUUCUUGGUCCAUUCCUGACGUUCAUACACGAAAGCGUGGGGAGCAAACAGGAUUAGAGACCCCCGUAGUCCCGUCUCUUAUACA
This 301-nucleotide ribosomal RNA is filed under the name uncultured bacterium. RNAcentral describes it as "partial 16S ribosomal RNA". It matches the Rfam family "Bacterial small subunit ribosomal RNA", at positions 509 to 808 of the family's 1533-position model. The record is from RNAcentral.